UAAUAAAAUGACGAAUGCCAGAGGUGACA
This 29-nucleotide non-coding RNA is filed under the name Mus musculus (house mouse). Lineage: Eukaryota; Metazoa; Chordata; Mammalia; Rodentia; Muridae. The record is from RNAcentral.